Molecule: small nuclear RNA, 21 nt
Filed under: Arabidopsis thaliana (thale cress)
Lineage: Eukaryota; Viridiplantae; Streptophyta; Magnoliopsida; Brassicales; Brassicaceae
Description: snRNA_16509
Source: RNAcentral
UUUCGAAUCUUGAUCACCAAA